CGCCUGUUUAUCAAAAACAUGUCUUUUUGUUAAUUAUUUAAGGUUUGGCCUGCUCCAUGAUUAAUUAAAUAGCCGCAGUAUUUUGACUGUGCAAAGGUAGCAUAAUCAUUAGUUUUUUAAUUGAAAGCUGGAAUGAAUGGUCGGAUGAGGAAGGUUCUGUCUCACUUUAAUUUUACUUGAACUUUAUUUUUAAGUUAAAAAGCUUAGAUUUUAUAAAAAGACGAGAAGACCCUAUAGAGUUUAAUAUGCUAGAAUUUUAAUUUUUAAAGGAUUUUAUUAUAAUUAAUUUGCUGCUUAUUUUGUUGGGGUGACAUGAGAAUUGGAGUAACUUCUUGUGAUUUGAACAUUGAUUUAUGAGUGAAUGAUCCUGAGCUUUGGAUUAAAAGGAUAAAUUACCUUAGGGAUAACAGCGUAAUCUUUUUGGAGAGUUCUUAUCGAUAAAAGGGAUUGCGACCUCGAUGUUGGAUUAAAGUUAAGUUCUGGUGCAGAAGCUAGGAGGUUG
This 502-nucleotide ribosomal RNA is filed under the name Lydomorphus bisignatus. RNAcentral describes it as "partial large subunit ribosomal RNA". It matches the Rfam family "Bacterial large subunit ribosomal RNA", at positions 1797 to 2572 of the family's 2925-position model. The record is from RNAcentral. Lineage: Eukaryota; Metazoa; Arthropoda; Insecta; Coleoptera; Meloidae.